RNAcentral lists this microRNA (21 nucleotides) under Ectocarpus siliculosus. RNAcentral's name for it is "esi-miR3459-3p". The record is from miRBase by way of RNAcentral. Lineage: Eukaryota; Phaeophyceae; Ectocarpales; Ectocarpaceae.
UUCAAGAACCAAGCGGACCUC